RNAcentral lists this long non-coding RNA (369 nucleotides) under Brassica rapa (field mustard). RNAcentral's name for it is "long non-coding RNA (BRAP_LNC000268)". The record is from RNAcentral. Lineage: Eukaryota; Viridiplantae; Streptophyta; Magnoliopsida; Brassicales; Brassicaceae.
UUUUUGGGUUUUUACCGGGUUAUUUUUAAUUAACGAAUUUUUCUUUAAAUCUGAACCGGAUAAUAUACAAUGUAUCGGGUCUAUAGGUUCAACCAUGAAUCUAGGUCGGAUAUGAAAACAAAUCUUAAAACUCAAACAUUAUUAUAGAACAACUACCAUAUUUUGAAAAGAAAAAAAAACAAAUGAUAAAAACCUAAAAACUCAAGUUCGAAACAAAAAUAAUGGUAGUGUGUAAAUCAGUUUUUAAUCAAAAAAUGAAAAAAAAACAAUCCUGCGCUUUUUAAGCGCGGGUCAAAAUCUAGUAAUCUUUAAAUUUUGAUAAAUCUUAUUUCAUUAACUAAGUAAGCCCUAAAGAAUUCACUAAUGCUC